UCUUCAGGUUAGUGUUUUGUCACCUGUUCAUUUACCCUCCUACUUCCCAUCCAGCUUUACAGUAACUUAUAGAUACGGAAAUGGGCAUGCUGUAUGCUUACGAUGCCACUCAAAAGUGAUUGCCAUUACUCAGUGGAACUGAGGAACACCUGGGUGACCAAAUCAGUCCUGAGUAUCAGGCUGGCUUAUGUCCAAAUGGUUUGGCUCUGGCCCCAAUGCCCCCGUUGAGUUGUGAACACCUGGCCUUGUUCAUACACCAUAACACUUGAAGAAAACUGAUCUUGGU
This is a long non-coding RNA of Dromaius novaehollandiae (emu), 286 nucleotides long. RefSeq lists it as uncharacterized. NCBI's taxonomy places the organism in Eukaryota, Metazoa, Chordata, Aves, Casuariiformes, Dromaiidae. The record is from RefSeq and is a predicted model, not a curated record. The transcript is spliced from 3 exons.